Molecule: long non-coding RNA, 1289 nt
Organism: Bacillus rossius redtenbacheri
Lineage: Eukaryota; Metazoa; Arthropoda; Insecta; Phasmatodea; Bacillidae
Exons: 2
Source: RefSeq, a predicted model, not a curated record
GCCGUUGUGCACUUGUUGUGUGGGCAUGCGCCCAUUAUUGCUUAUAUGUUGUUUAAUUAAAUGCAAACUGGGAGGCUACUUUUUUUUAUAUUUUUUUUUAAUACCUAAUUGUUUUUAACUUUUUGAUUAUUUGAAGUAUAAUGAAAUAAUUAUUAUUUUAAGUAUCAAUUUGUAAGAAAUAAUUGUUUUUGUAUAAAAAAAUUUUUUUGUUAAAAUAUAUUUAUGUCUUUGUUAAGCUUUGUGGAUUUAAAAGAAAAACAUAUGGACUUCAAAAGACUUUAAACAUCAUAAAUUAAUUUUUCCUUUUGUUUAUAUUAAUAUUGUGGUUAAGAUUUAUUAUUGAGUUAUUGCACUUAAGUGCAGGAAAGUGUAACAUUUUAAGUUUCUCAUCUCUAUGUAUUGUCAUAUCUAUGGUCAUCUUCAUAUUGGAAAGGAAAAGGUAGUACUUUCCUUUCUGUUUUUGUCAGCCAUAAUGUAGACAUCAAAAAUUUUUUGUGCUCGUCACGUAUCCAUCGACAUCCAUGUCGAAAGUUGUGUAUUUACUACCGCAUUAGCGGUCCGGGAGUUGGCGACCUCUCGCUGCCCCAUGCCUGAGGUGUGAUCCAUAAGCUUCGCCCAUAACAUCUGGGCACCCCAGGGCUUGUCCCGUGGUUCUACGGCGAUGGGAGCCGCCAACAAAUAUCCCAGGAAAGUUUUCGACGACUAAAUCCUAAGCAUGCAGCAUGGGUAGUUAACCUGUUUCGGCCGCGCGUAUCUUCUUGCAAUCUCAUCGAAUAUUUCAUCAAACUACCCCUUUGGCUUCGAAAUCAUUUUAUUAUUAAACUAUAUUUUAAUACUUUCUGUAUCUUAAAUUUACAAUAAUUUUUUGAAAAUGUAACUAAGUAAUAAUAAUUUUUUUUUGAAAGUGUAACUAAGUAAUAAUUUUUUUUGAAUAUGUAACUAAGCAAUCAUUUUGUGGGGCCCCAUUUUUGUUUUGACUGUACGAAUACUCAAUUAAAACUCUUUAUCGUGUUUUAAAUAAAUAUGUUUUGUUAUGGCUGACCCGAUAUCAGUGUGUAUUUUAUGUUGCAUUUACCUAACCUUUUUUAAUUAAUUUCUUAUCUAUAUAAAUUCUUAACAGGUUAUCAACUUUUGUUCGGUAGUUUUCCCAGUCGGCAUAUUUCCUCUCUACUCAUUAUUUAUUCAAUACAACUAAGUGCCGUGCCAUUGAGCCUAAGGUCCUGGAGUCUUCCGUCGUGAUUUGCCUUGGUGAGGUUUGGUAAACUGAGCCAAGAGUAGAUAACGGCUCA